CCUACGGGAGGCAGCAGUGAGGAAUAUUGGUCAAUGGGCGGGAGCCUGAACCAGCCAAGUCGCGUGAGGGACGACGGUCCCAAGGAUUGUAAACUUCUUUUGUCAGGGAACAAAAUCACCCUCGAGAGCCUGGACGAGGGUACUUGAAGAAAAAGCAUCGGCUAACUCCGUGCCAGCAGCCGCGGUAAUACGGAGGAUGCGAGCGUUAUCCGGAUUUAUUGGGUUUAAAGGGUGCGUAGGCGGACAGUUAAGUCAGCGGUAAAAGGGCGGUGCUCAACGCCGGCCAGCCGUUGAAACUGGCAGUCUUGAGUGGGCGAGAGGUAUGCGGAAUGCGUGGUGUAGCGGUGAAAUGCAUAGAUAUCGCGCAGAACUCCGAUUGCGAAGGCAGCAUACCGGCGGCGGACUGACGCUGAGGCACGAAAGCGUGGGUAUCGAACAGGAUUAGAUACCCGUGUAGUC
This 459-nucleotide ribosomal RNA is filed under the name uncultured bacterium. RNAcentral describes it as "partial 16S ribosomal RNA". It matches the Rfam family "Bacterial small subunit ribosomal RNA", at positions 338 to 795 of the family's 1533-position model. The record is from RNAcentral.